RNAcentral lists this unclassified non-coding RNA (198 nucleotides) under uncultured Geastrum. Its description in RNAcentral is "sequence contains ITS1". Lineage: Eukaryota; Fungi; Basidiomycota; Agaricomycetes; Geastrales; Geastraceae. The record is from RNAcentral.
CUGUAAGGGAACAAUGGAGUCUUGAGACUGCGCUUCAACAAUGAAGUGUGUGCUCGACUCUUAAUACUCUUCAUCCACACACACCUUUUGUGCACCAUGUGGGGGGGACACCCUCCAGGUGUCCCCCUUCUUUUUGAUAAUAACAACCAAGUUUUAUGCAUGGCUUUUAUUUGACUCUAUGGAGUUUAAAAAAAAAAA